UUCUUUGGCUAAGCGCCAUUUCAAGCGAGGACAGUCGUAACAAUGGAUACAGCUCCUUUGCCAAAAGAGGCAUUACAUGAUAGUUCAAAAUUAUCAGAUUUUUAUAACUGCAAGAAGUUCCCGAAGAUGCUGUUAAUGUCCUAAAAGGAAAGGAUUUUAAACUUAAUGGGCGGAUGGUUUCAAGAUUUACAUAUUUCAAAAUCAUAUGUAAACAGCACAAGUAGCCCUUUAUAUACCAAUACAUGUGCUUAAAUACAGCGUAAGUAAAGAGUUUUAUUUUAAUAUAUUGCAUGCCGUACUUCGUUUGAUUUAUUUGGAAUAUCUAACAUUCAAAAUAAGCUUUUCUUCCUAUUACAGCUUAAAUAAUUUACUUCUGACUUACAAAUCACUAUUUUUUACUUAAUCACUCGUGCUAUUAAAUUUAAUAUCACAAAGUUGUAAACACUUCCAAGUUAAAAAAAUUUGUACAAUUUUCGUAAUGAAAAUUUUGACUCUUGAUUCAAUAGUAAUCCCAGUAAUGAAUUUUGAAAACAGGCGACGUAAAACUUUAAAUCACUUUUUCCAUGAAAUUUAGAAUAAAUAUUACUUAUUUGUAAUUUUUAAUUGAAACGUAAAAAUUUACUUUUGAAAGUAAGUGAUGAUAUAAAAAAUGCGUCUAAUCCAUAAUCUGAAGAAUUUCUAAUAAACAAUAUUUUAUUUAACAUUAGCAGAUGUAGAAGCUCGAACGAUUUUCUAAAAUGGUUAUUUUCUAAGAAUUAACAGCUAACUGUUUAGAGCCUACGAUUCUUAAGAUUACAUGUGUAAAAGUCCUUCAGCAUUGUAAAUAUUCAUUGUACAUUGCGAAAGAUUUAAAUGGGGGGGGGAGGGGUUCUUGAUAUUAUUUGCUACUGUAGAGAGAUACAAAAGUUUUCAAAAGAAAGUAAGUGUUUCAUUUUAAAAUACAAUAGGCAUUUAAGGCAAUGAGACAUAUAAUGACACAUGAGUAAGUUUUCUCUUAAAGGCUGCCUUAUGUUUAGUUUAAAAUGAUUAGAGAAACCGCCUCCAAUUCUUGAUUUGUAAAAUUCAGGUACCUCAAAGAAUGUAUUUAGACGCAAUGCUAUAUAAAAAACAAAAUUAAUUAUUUGACAUGGUUUCAAAAUUCAGAACGUCCCUACCUAAUAAAAACUGUGAUUUUAAAGUAGCGAUGCUUGGAAUUUUCUUUCAAAACAACUAAAUUCGCAGUAUAAAAUCAGUUAUAUUCAGCAUUACUGACCUCAUAGUAUAUGAAGCCCAUUAAAAUCUACAAUAUUUAGUCCAAUAUACAUAAAAUUCUUUUCAAAAUGCCUGUGAUGUCAACUGUCAAUUUAUUUAACAAGAAGAAGAAUAGUAAAUAUUUUUUCAUGGAGGUAAAAUGUGAGAGCAGAAAUUUAAUAUGAAGUAAAUAAAAUUACAAUUAAGAUACAAUAACAUGCCGAACAAGUAUUAAUUAGUUAAACAACAAAAAUCAGCGUUAUAUUUUCAAAUUUUCACAG
Long non-coding RNA from Stegodyphus dumicola, 1511 nucleotides. The record is from RefSeq and is a predicted model, not a curated record. NCBI's taxonomy places the organism in Eukaryota, Metazoa, Arthropoda, Arachnida, Araneae, Eresidae.